GAAUCAACGCUGGCGGCGUGCCUCAGACAUGCAAGUCGAACGCGAAAGUUUCCUUCGGGAAGCGAGUAGAGUGGCGUCCGGGUGAGUAACACGUAGGUAAUCUACCUUUGGGUGGGGAAUAACAACCGGAAACGGUUGCUAAUACCGCAUAAUGCAGCGGCACCACAUGGUGACAGUUGUUAAAGCGGGGGAUCGCAAGACCUCGCGCCUAAAGAGGAGCCUGCGGCGGAUUAGCUAGUGGUAAGGUAACGGCUUACCAAGGCAACGAUCCGUAGCCGGCCUGAGAGGGCGGUCGGCCACACUGACACUGAAAUACGGGUCAGACUCCUACGGGAGGCAGCAGUCGGG
RNAcentral lists this ribosomal RNA (348 nucleotides) under uncultured bacterium. Its description in RNAcentral is "bacterial SSU rRNA". It matches the Rfam family "Bacterial small subunit ribosomal RNA", at positions 27 to 359 of the family's 1533-position model. The record is from RNAcentral.